GUACUUACCUGGCAGGGGUGAUACCAUGAUCACAAAGGUGGUUUUCCCAGGGUGAGGCUCGUCUGUUGCACUCCGGAUGUGGUGACCCUAAGAUUUCCCCAAAUGUGGGAAUCUUGACUGCAUAAUUUAUGUAGUGC
This 137-nucleotide small nuclear RNA is filed under the name Octodon degus (degu). RNAcentral describes it as "U1 spliceosomal RNA (ENSODEG00000021568.1)". It matches the Rfam family "U1 spliceosomal RNA". From Rfam's summary of the family: U1 is a small nuclear RNA (snRNA) component of the spliceosome (involved in pre-mRNA splicing). Its 5' end forms complementary base pairs with the 5' splice junction, thus defining the 5' donor site of an intron. Lineage: Eukaryota; Metazoa; Chordata; Mammalia; Rodentia; Octodontidae. The record is from RNAcentral.